ACGACGCUGGCGGCGUGCCUAAUACAUGCAAGUCGAACGGUCUUUCUAUGGAAGCUUGCUUCCGCUGAGAAGAUAGUGGCGAACGGGUGAGUAACACGUGGGUAACCUGCCCAUAAGAGGGGGAUAACAUCCGGAAACGGGUGCUAAUACCGCAUAGUUUUCUUGAUCGCAUGAUCGGGAAAGGAAAGACGGCCUUUGUGCUGUCGCUUAUGGAUGGACCCGCGGCGUAUUAGUUAGUUGGUGAGGUAACGGCUCACCAAGACGAUGAUACGUAGCCGACCUGAGAGGGUGAUCGGCCACAUUGGGACUGAGACACGGCCCAAACUCCUACGGGAGGCAGCAGUAGGGAAUCUUCCGCAAUGGACGAAAGUCUGACGGAGCAACGCCGCGUGAGUGAAGAAGGUUUUCGGAUCGUAAAACUCUGUUGUCAGAGAAGAACAAGUUGGAGAGUAACUGCUCCAGCCUUGACGGUAUCUGACCAGAAAGCCACGGCUAACUACGUG
RNAcentral lists this ribosomal RNA (503 nucleotides) under uncultured bacterium. Its description in RNAcentral is "bacterial SSU rRNA". It matches the Rfam family "Bacterial small subunit ribosomal RNA", at positions 32 to 507 of the family's 1533-position model. The record is from RNAcentral.